AAAUACCAUUAAUUUUCAUGAACCCCUAAUCUAUAAUGAAUGACUCCAUAUUUAUAUGGAAGACACCAUGCUAGGAUUAGUAACAAGAAUUUAUAAUUCUCCAAAAUGCAAAUAUAAACCAACAUGGAUGGACCAUUGGUAGUUACCGAACCUAAAUUCAAUGCAACAACACCUACAAGAAAACUCUGCAGUACUUACUCGUUAACCUAACACCAGCGCAUUACAGGAAAGAUUUAAAAAAAGAGAAGGAAUUCGGCAAAUGACGGCCCCGCCUGUUUACCAAAAACAUCGCCUCUUGACUUAUAAUAAGAGGUCCAGCCUGCCCAGUGAAUUUUAAACGGCCGCGGUAUCCUAACCGCGCGAAGGUAGCAUAAUCACUUGUUCUUUAAAUGGGGACUCGUAUCAACGGCAUCACGAGGGUUUUACUGUCUCCUCUUUUUGAUCAGUGAAAUUGAUCUUCCCGUGAAGAAGCGGGAAUAAAUUUAUAAGACGAGAAGACCCCAUGGAGCUUUAAACCAAAUAACAACUUAACCACUUAUCCCAUAAUAAAUUUAAGCCCUGUUAUAAGGUUUUUGGUUGGGGUGACCGCGGAGUAAAACACAUCCUCCACGACGAAAAAAACAGAAUCUUUAUUUAAGAACCACACUUCUAGAAAUUAGUAUACUAACGUUUACUGACCCGACAAUCGAUCAACGGACCAAGUUACCCUGGGGAUAACAGCGCAAUCUACUUCAAGAGCUCAUAUCGACAAGUAGGCUUACGACCUCGAUGUUGGAUCAGGGUAUCCCGGUGGUGCAGCCGCUACCGAAGGUUCGUUUGUUCAACGAUUAAAACCCUACGUGAUCU
This 846-nucleotide ribosomal RNA is filed under the name Polypedates leucomystax (Java whipping frog). Its description in RNAcentral is "partial 16S ribosomal RNA". It matches the Rfam family "Bacterial large subunit ribosomal RNA", at positions 1538 to 2606 of the family's 2925-position model. The record is from RNAcentral. Lineage: Eukaryota; Metazoa; Chordata; Amphibia; Anura; Rhacophoridae.